This 1032-nucleotide ribosomal RNA is filed under the name uncultured bacterium. Its description in RNAcentral is "bacterial SSU rRNA". It matches the Rfam family "Bacterial small subunit ribosomal RNA", at positions 348 to 1378 of the family's 1533-position model. The record is from RNAcentral.
GCAGCAGUGGGGAAUAUUGCGCAAUGGCCGAAAGGCUGACGCAGCGACGCCGCGUGGGGGAUGAAGCAUUUCGGUGUGUAAACCCCUGUGCUCGGGACGAACAACCUCUUUAGAGAGGUCUGACGGUACCGGGUGAGGAAGCACCGGGCUAACUCCGUGCCAGCAGCCGCGGUAAUACGGAGGGUGCGAGCGUUGUCCGGAAUCACUGGGCGUAAAGGGCGCGUAGGCGGUCUGCUAAGCGUGCGGUGAAAGCCUGGGGCUCAACCCCAGGUCUGCCGUGCGAACUGGUGGACUAGAGCACUGUAGAGGCAGGUGGAAUUCCGGGUGUAGCGGUGGAAUGCGUAGAGAUCCGGAAGAACACCGGUGGCGAAGGCGGCCUGCUGGGCAGUUGCUGACGCUGAGGCGCGACAGCGUGGGGAGCAAACAGGAUUAGAUACCCUGGUAGUCCACGCCGUAAACGAUGGGCACUAGGUGCUUGGGGGAGCGACCCCCCGAGUGCCGGCGCUAACGCAUUAAGUGCCCCGCCUGGGGAGUACGACCGCAAGGUUGAAACUCAAAGGAAUUGACGGGGGCCCGCACAAGCGGUGGAGCAUGUGGUUUAAUUCGACGCAACGCGAAGAACCUUACCUAGGCUUGACAUGCAUGGGAAAGCCUCUGGAAACAGAGGCCCCUCUUCGGAGCUCAUGCACAGGUGCUGCAUGGCUGUCGUCAGCUCGUGUCGUGAGAUGUUGGGUUAAGUCCCGCAACGAGCGCAACCCUUGCCCUUAGUUACCAGCGAGUAAAGUCGGGGACUCUAGGGGGACUGCCGGUGCCAGACCGGAGGAAGGUGGGGAUGACGUCAAGUCAUCAUGGUCCUUACGUCUAGGGCUACACACGUGCUACAAUGGCAGGUACAGAGGGCUGCGAAAGGGCAACCUGGAGCCAAUCCCCAAAGCCUGCCUCAGUUCGGAUUGUCGUCUGCAACCCGACGGCAUGAAGCUGGAAUCGCUAGUAAUCGUGGAUCAGCUACGCCGCGGUGAAUACGUUCCCGGG